RNAcentral lists this ribosomal RNA (396 nucleotides) under uncultured bacterium. RNAcentral describes it as "partial 16S ribosomal RNA". It matches the Rfam family "Bacterial small subunit ribosomal RNA", at positions 523 to 918 of the family's 1533-position model. The record is from RNAcentral.
AUACGUAGGGAGCGAGCGUUGUCCGGAAUUACUGGGUGUAAAGGGAGCGUAGGCGGGAGUGCAAGUCAGAUGUGAAAUACAUGGGCUCAACCCAUGGGCUGCAUUUGAAACUGCAUUUCUUGAGUGAAGUAGAGGUAAGCAGAAUUCCUGGUGUAGCGGUGAAAUGCGUAGAUAUCAGGAGGAACACCGGUGGCUAAGGCGGCUUACUGGGCUUUUACUGACGCUGAGGCUCGAAAGCGUGAGGAGCAAACAGGAUUAGAUACCCUGGUAGUCCACGCUGUAAACGAUGAUUACUAGGUGUGGGGGGACUGACCCCUUCCGUGCCGCAGUUAACACAAUAAGUAAUCCACCUGGGGAGUACGGCCGCAAGGUUGAAACUCAAAUGAAUUGACGGGG